RNAcentral lists this ribosomal RNA (492 nucleotides) under uncultured bacterium. Its description in RNAcentral is "partial 16S ribosomal RNA". It matches the Rfam family "Bacterial small subunit ribosomal RNA", at positions 29 to 507 of the family's 1533-position model. The record is from RNAcentral.
AGUGAACGCUGGCGGUAGGCCUAACACAUGCAAGUCGAACGGCAGCACAGUAAGAGCUUGCUCUUACGGGUGGCGAGUGGCGGACGGGUGAGGAAUACAUCGGAAUCUACUUUUUCGUGGGGGAUAACGUAGGGAAACUUACGCUAAUACCGCAUACGACCUACGGGUGAAAGCAGGGGAUCUUCGGACCUUGCGCGAUUGAAUGAGCCGAUGUCGGAUUAGCUAGUUGGCGGGGUAAAGGCCCACCAAGGCGACGAUCCGUAGCUGGUGUGAGAGGAUGAUCGGCCACACUGGAACUGAGACACGGUCCAGACUCCUACGAGAGGCAGCAGUGGGGAAUGUUGGACAAUGGGCGCAAGCCUGAUCCAGCCAUACCGCGUGGGUGAAGAAGGCCUUCGGGUUGUAAAGCCCUUUUGUUGGGAAAGAAAAGCAGCAGGUUAAUACCCCGCUGUUCUGACGGUACCCAAAGAAUAAGCACCGGCUAACUUCGUG